Molecule: ribosomal RNA, 416 nt
Filed under: uncultured bacterium
Lineage: Bacteria
Description: bacterial SSU rRNA
Rfam family: Bacterial small subunit ribosomal RNA
Source: RNAcentral
GGAAUAUUGCGCAAUGGGCGAAAGCCUGACGCAGCAACGCCGCGUGGAUGAUGAAGUUCUUCGGAAUGUAAAAUCCUUUUGCAGGGGACGAAUAUGCCGGCAUGCCAGCACUGACGGUCCCUUGCGAAUAAGCCACGGCUAACUCUGUGCCAGCAGCCGCGGUGAUACAUGGGUGGCAAGCGUUGUCCGGCUUUCCUGGGCGUAAAGGGUGCGCAGGCGGACCGGUAAGUCGGGGGUUAAAUCAAUGUGCUUAACACAUGCACGGCUUCCGAUACUGUCGGUCUAGAGUCUCGAAGAGGAAGGUGGAAUUUCUGGUGUAACGGUGGAAUGUGUAGAUAUCGGAAAGAACACCAGUGGCGAAGGCAGCCUUCUGGUCGAGAUCUGACGCUCAUGCACGAAAGCGUGGGGAGCAAACA